RNAcentral lists this long non-coding RNA (24671 nucleotides) under Zostera marina. RNAcentral's name for it is "long non-coding RNA (ZMAR_LNC002195)". The record is from RNAcentral. Lineage: Eukaryota; Viridiplantae; Streptophyta; Magnoliopsida; Alismatales; Zosteraceae.
GGUCCGCGAAUUAAGGUAUAUUCUUUUGUAGUGAAUACUUCUCGAAAGGCUAUGAUUUUGUGGGUGUUUAGUUAUGGGUGGUAAUUCAGAAGCCUAAAAUGAAGCUGGUGGAGGAAUGAAUUUAAGAAAAUUCAAUAUGGGUUCUCUUUCCCUGAAAAAAUCUGUUUGUAGUGGCUCGUCCUCGAACAAAAGAGAUCUGAAUAAUAAUGCGAGGAUAGAAAAUUAGUCGAUCACGAAAUUAAUUACAUAAAAAAGAUCAACGAAGCUUCAUUUAUCACCUUGUUGCUGAGACAAAAAUACCUUCUUCAAACGCCACCAUCAUUAGAACAAUUAAUCACGAGAAAUAUUGCUGAUCUUACAAAAGAAGAAAGGGCCGUCAUUUUCAGACCUCUUUCAGACCAUUAUACCUAAAAUUGACUCAACAAUUUUAGACUCUACCCCUAAACUUGGUGAUACCAGGUCCGGUACAAAAAGAUAUUUACUCAUACCUCUGGUACCAAUUUCUGUUGGCUUGUUUAAGCCCAUAAUUUUUUUAAUUUGCAAACCCUAUUGUCAGAUAAAGGCAGCAUGCUUGGAGGAGGAUUCACGAAAAUGUCUUCAGUCGAGUCAUCAUAAAGAAAGUCAUUGCUUACAUCCAUUUAAUUACUUGAAAGGCACUCGAUUGCACUGGAAAGGGACCAAUACUCUGUGAUGGUAUGCCCCGUGUCGCGACGAUACUUGCAAUACUUGUCGUUGUUGCAACCUGGGAUGGUAGGACCCUCAUAGGGCGAGGUUUCAGAAGUUUUUCAGAAUCCCGUAACAAUAUGAAUAUCUCUAUCUAGUUGGGAUCUGACAACUUCGAGGGUUUCUAUGAUGUUACCUGCACUAAGGUCGUGGACCUAGACGGAGUCGACUGGAAAACACUACCCGACGACGUGGCCUGAAUAGCUCAACUUACUCCGACGUAUAGAAACAAGAUUUUCAAUGAUAUAUUUAGUUGUUAAUUAAUCUUAAUUAUAUUAAACCCUAAUUAACAAUAGAUAGACUUAUAUGAGUUAAUUUUAUUUAUAAAUCCAUUUAAACUCAUAUGAUAUAAAAUUGACUUGAUACAUGAUUAAAUGAAAAUAAGAUUAGCUUAUUUAUUAUCAUCAAACAAAUUUUUACAUUGAUCAAGUUAAUUAUUGUAGCAUGUAACUAGGGGUGAGCGGAGACGUGGCGGAGAUUGCGUUCCCCGUCCCCGUACCCGGUCAUUUUGAUCGACGACGGGGAAAUACCCGAGUCAAAAACCAUCCCCGGCCAAGGUACGGGGAUGCGGAUCCCCGACCAAAAUAAUUAAAAAAAAUUUUUUUUUUUUAAUUUAUUUUAAACAAUAAUGUUAAUUACUAAUGUAAUUAAAAUCGAUUUAGUGAGAGUGUGAUUUAGGGUUUAAGGAGAGAAAUAAAUUUAGGGAUUUGAAAUUUCACAUUUAUGAUUUAAAACUUAAAAUUGAAAAUUUAAGAAAUAUUAAAAAUUUAAAAUGUAGGGGGUUAAAUAUAAUUUUUUAUGAAUAUAUUUUAAAUAUAAACGGGUUAAAUAUAAUUGUUUUAUGGAUAUAUUUGAUAUAUAAACUAAUGUAUUUAAUAUAUUAUAUAGGGUUAUUUAUAUAGAUUAUACUAUAUAAAAUAUUAUAUAAGGUUUAAAUACAAUUUUCCGGGUGUUGUCGGAUUUUAAUCCCCAUCCCCUUACCCGGAAAUGACCGGGGAUUUCGGUCGGGGACAGGGAUUUUCCUACUUCGGGUAGGAAAAUCUUCCUCGUCCCCGUAUCCGCCCGGCCCGGUACGGGACGGGUACCGAGUACAAGGACGGGGAAUCUCACCCCUAGUACCUUGUAUUGAUUUAUUCACAUCAACUAAUUUGACUUAAUCUUUGCUUUCAAGUUAUCUUAAUUUCUUAAAAAUUAAUCAACAUAGUGUGAGAGAAACCCAUCUAUCUAUGCAAACUUAAAAGAAAUCCCCAUGGUGAAAAACGUGUAGCAUUUAUUCCUAUCCAACUAAUUUCUACACUUCAAGAUCUCAUGACUCAAUGCAAUCCUACAAAUCUCAACUACAAGAUAUUGAGAUUCAAUGCUUCAGAAAACCCAUGCAAAGAUUUUACAAGUUCUAUUAUAAGAAGAAAGAUUCCCUUUGAAGAAUUUAUGAUGUGUAAGAAUUCCCUUCCACAAUCUCUCUUCUCGAGUGCUUGUGGAAGUUGAAGAAAACUAACUCCCUAUGUCACCAACGUUUUGAAGAUAAGGAGGGGAACACCAAGCACUCAAAGCUAUCACUUACCAUAUUUGUUAAAACUCUCUUUGGUUCAAAUCUCUAGUUCUCAUUCUCUUGCUCUUUCUCAAGCUUUGUGGAAGUUGUUCUCAAGGUAUUAAUUCAAAUAUAUAUCUUAAGUAUUCAGUAUGGUCUUGUACAUUGGCAUUGUACACUAGGAUGUUAUAAAAAAAACAAUUACAAACUUCUUCAAAUAUUUGCAAAAACUGAGUUCAUUACUGACUAAAAGGUGGCUGGGGCAUUAGUGAGACAAAAUGCAUCACAAGGAACUCAAAGUGUUCUUGAUGUAUUCUGAAGGGAUGUCCUUUCAGUAUAAUGGGAUCGAUCCUAAUCUGAUGGAAACCAUAUCUCAAAUCAAGUUUAGAAUAAAUAAUUGAACCCUUUAAUUCCCCUAACAAUUAAUCAAAGGUAGGAAUUGGAUACUUAUCUUUGAUUGUGAGAGCAUUUAAAGCUCUAUAAUCCAGACAUAAUCUAUAACUACCAUUCUUCUUCUUGAGUAAAAGGACUGGAGAUGAGCUAGGUUUAAUCAUGUCUUGCUUCAACAUUUAAGAGAUCAAUUUCUCAAUAUCAGAUUUCCGAAAUUGUGGAUAUAUCUAUAAGGCUUCCUAACAUUUACAGGUUAGUUCUUGGCUCUAGAUGGAUAGCAUGAUCCAUUUACCUCUGAGUUGGAAGUCAACCAGGAUCUUCAAACAGAUCUGUAUUUUCCUGAAUUAUUUCGGUAAUUUCUGAAAUUUUGUCAUCUAGAAUUGUUGUAGUUUCAUUGUUGACUACUCUGUCAUGAUAGCAGAGAUAAGCCUCUUGUAAAAAUUCUGGCCUUCUCUAUUAAAAGACACACUCGGCUCGUCAAAAUCAUAUUUGUCGUCCAAAAGUCUUCAGAGAUUGAACACCAAUUACCAUGUUAGACCCCUUUAUGGAUCAAAAAAAAUAUCCAUUACAGUACUAACAUCCUGAAUCCUAGCUAACUUCCACAUCUUUUCACACAUUUUAUUGUAGACUAACUUUCCACUGUCUGUUGAUACAUGAAAUGGCUGGAUCAUUUGUAUCGUCAACUUCAACUAUUGGGCUACAUCAACUUGAAUAAAAUGAUGGCUAGAUCCUGAGUCAACUAGCACACUUCCUGGAAUUUGAUGAAACAUGUGACCCUUACAGUGUUGAAAUCUAUAUUUCCUUCAAAUGAAUUUAGUAAGAUCUCAGUUCUGUCUCUGUGAAUGAUUGACAUCUUCCAUAAUUUUUUCUUCAUAAUCUUUUAGGUCUUACUGCUCCUCUAUUUCUACCAUCUUAGCCUCAUCAACAGACAAUCUAAAUAAUUUACCCUUCCUGCCCAGACACACAUUGUUAUGGUUUGCAGAGAGUUUUUCAUCACAAUUGAAGAAGGGGCCCUUGCUUCUUCUUUCAGCUCUUUCUGUUGCGGAUAGUAUCUUAGCGGUAAGUACCGUCUCAGUAGAUGUGGGAUUCACUGUUUCAUUCACAACCUCAAGCUUGUUCUAAGGGAUGGUUAUUAUUUUAGCUUGCUUGUAAGAAUAAGGUUUAUAAGUUAAACCUUUACUUGCCCCUUUUCUUAUUUCAAUCAUUAAUGACAUCUCAAAUGUUUCGUGAAUGUCAAUAGAUUUAAUAAAACACCAAUGAUACCGAGUAUAUUGGAUCGGACAAAUGAAACAACUAUACCUAACAAACGAGGGUGCAUCAAAUCUGCGAUUUCAAUCACAGAUAUCCGAAGCAAAGCAUGAAAGAUAUAGACUCCUGAAAUUGAGACUUAGCUUCAUUCGGCGAUGAUAGAUGGUGUGGAUCGAACAAUACGGUCGAGAUCCAAUGGAAUAGUAGCUGCGAAGGCACGAUGUACUUGACUGGAUUAUAUGAGAGAAAUAACGUGAUAGGCAAAGGCCUAUUCAUAAUAGUGUAGAUAUGAAUAUAAAUAGACAAAAUAAUUAAAAUGGAUAUGGUUAUUUAGUUUUGUCUACCAAAUAUUCAAUAAAAUAGAUACUUCAUAUCAAACAUAUGAUUAAAUAAAGUUUUCAUUUAAUAUAAUGAUCAAAGAAAUCAAAUAUUUUUAAAAUGAAAUCCAAAUCUUAAACUAUUUUCUGGGAUUUUAUACUUAAUUGUAUAGAUUGUGAAAAUUAUAUAUAUAACACAGAAGAACACACCAACAAUGCUAAGAAUCCGAAUAACUUAAUUACCAUAGAAUCUCAAAUCCACAAUCGAUUUCCAAAUGAUUACGCAUAUCCUCGUACUUUUGUUGUUCCAAUUCUCGUUAUUGUCUUUUGCACAACAAAUCUACAAUGUUGUCGAUUUUGGCGCUGAUAAUGGAGGUAAUGUAGAUUCAACCAAUGCAUUUGGUGAAGCGUGGCAUUCAACAUGCUCAUCAAAUACCUCAUCCGUUCUUCUUGUCCCAAAUGGUGAAUUCCUACUCAGGCCAUAUAUCUUUUCUGGACCAUGUCAAAGCGAAAAGGUUGAGGUUCGGAUUGAAGGAACAAUUGUUGCUCCGAUAAAUGACAAUGAGAUAGAAAACUCCGAGUAUUGGAUAAAGUUCGAUCAAAUUGAUGGUUUGGAAAUAUAUGGAGGAACUAUUGAUGCAAGAACAGAUGACGUAUGGAAAUGCAAGAGAUCUGGCGGUAAUUGCCCUCAUGGAUCAAGGGUAAGUAAAGUGUUUGAUGAUUAUGUAGAAUUCUAGGUUACUGAUACAAAAAAUACUGAUAUUGAUUUUUUUCAUAUCCAUAUACAUAUCUACAGUCUCUCGACAUCAGUGGGAAAAAUAUCAAAAUCGUCGGAUUAACGUCCAUGAAUAGCAAUCAACAACACAUAAUGAUCCAUAAGUGUGAAGGUGUGGAGGUAUCUGAUGUACAUAUUUUGGCACCAGAAAAUAGCCCUAACACUGAUGGAAUUCACGUUAUGAAGAGUUCAAACGUUCGUAUCAUCGAAACCAGUAUAAAGACAGGCGAUGAUUGUAUCUCAAUUGGUCAUGGCACUAGAGGAUUACAUAUUCAAAACAUUGAAUGUGGUCCGGGACAUGGGAUUAGGUAAUGAUUUUCUCCCAAUCUUAUAUAUAUAAGAUCAAAUAACAUUUAAGACAAUCAAACUAUAAAAAUAGUAUAGGGAGUCUCGGAUAUUAUGAAUGGAGGCGAGAAGAAGUGCAGGAUAUUACCGUGGAUGGUGCUGUGAUCAAAGGUGCUCAAAAUGGGUUGAGAAUAAAAACAGUUGCGAAAGACAACCAUGGUUUUGUUGCAGGAAUUUUUUACAAUAAUAUCACCAUGGUAGAUGUCUUUAAUCCAAUCGUCAUCGAUCAAAAUUAUUGUCCUCACAAUAGUUGUUACAGCUACGAGGUUUUAGAUACAAUCAUCUUGCUACAUAUAUUCUGAUCCAUUUUACGACCAUAUUGUCUUAUUUCUUUGUUCGUGAAUACAGAGGGUGCCCUCUGGGAUAGAAAUCAGAAACAUCAGGUUCUCGAACAUCAAGGGAACUUCGGCUUCUGAAUAUGCAAUGAAAUUUGAUUGUAGCCAGAAUAACCCUUGCAAGGAUGUACAUCUAUAUAAUGUGCAUCUCAUACAAGGCACUCAAUUGAAAAAGAGAGUGCAAUCCAACUGUAAUAAUGUGAUUCAAUCAGAAUCGACCGGCUGCGAUCCAACUUCUUGCUUCUGAUGGCAAACCACAUGUUGUGAAAUAAAGCUUUAUUUUUUAGCAAUUCAACAUGUAAUAUUUUCGUUCUGCCAAUCAAUACAAAAUUAAAACAACAUUAUGCAACCAUAUCGUAUGUAUUGAUCAGGUGGAAACUCUUACAGUUAUGACUCGACGACAUAGAGAAUAAGAAUCGUGCUUUAUCCGUACUCAAUUCCUGUUUUUGUAGUAUAUGUCAGCGUUUGGAUCCCUAAAAUGGGGAGAUCUUGGUCUUAUUUAUAGGAUUUUUCUAUGGGAAUAGUUGAUUGAUGGAUCCUAAACCUAAGUCUUGUAUAUGAUCCCAAACUUGAGUCUGGUCACGGGUCAAUCCGGGAAAUUAUGAACACAAAAUUUUUUGUAAAUUUUAGAUUUAAAAUAUCAUAAGGAUCAGCUUCUGGUGUUAUAAUGCAUAGUAUUAUAAUGAUCUCUUUUUCAUCUCGAGAUUGAGAAUGCCUAGUGCAAUAAGGACUAAAUUAUAAUGCAUAGUGCAAGGAGUAAAUUAUAAUGCACAGUGCAAGGAGUAAAUUAUAAUGCACAGUGCAAGGACAAAAUUAUAAUGGGCAUACUUCAGGUGCACCGUACCUUGAAUACAUCGUCGUGUGCUAUCAAAUCGUGACCAUUAUUAUUUCAUCCAAUAACUAAAGUCGAUCUAAUGGACAAGAUUAACUUGGCACAUAUAGCAUUCACACUAGCUGUACGGCGCAUCUUAAUACUACUGAAAUUAUAAUACCAUUUUUUUCUAAAUAAAAUGUGUGUCUAGUCACGAGCCUUUUAGAUCCCAAACGAUGUGGUUUACUAGGACCGAGCGUACUGUACGUGUUGUUCCUUCCAGGUUCCAACUGUGGAAAAGGCUAAACACCGAUGUGGUUGGGAAUUGAACAUGCUGAAGAGGAGGCCCGCCUUCGUGAACAGGUGGCUCGUCGAUCUCUGCUGAUCUUCAAAAGGUACAAUCCGAAUAAAACAUAGUGGUAAAGGGGGCGACCGAGGAUGUUGAUUCCCAUCGGCAAGCUUUGGAGGAAGUAGACGCUGCUCGCCUAGAAGUUGUGAAGGUAGUUAUGGGUGCAGUCAUGAAUGAGGAUUUUGUAGGGUUUAGGAUGUGCCACACCUUCUCGCUGAUGAGAUGAUUAGGCAUGAGAAGUUCGUGAAGUAUUGAGGUUUCCAGAAUGGGAUUGACCAUUAAUGUUGUGCCAUGUGUAACCUAACCGACCAUUAUUCUUUAAUUUGCUUCGACUGUUGUUCCUCGAAAUACCAACGAGUUAGAGAAGUGGCAAGCUAAAGGAGAACCUCUUGCCCCUGGGUGUUCUAGCACAGUGAAGGUGGCGCUUCUGAUCUCAGUUCAUAUGAGGGGGAGCUUUAACUUUUUGACUUAUGUUUUAUAUAUUCGUUUUGAUACUUGCCUGGUGUUAUUUUUGCCUCUGGCAUAUAGACGCCUUCUGACCCGGAGAUUAUCUAGUACUUCUGCGUCCUGGCUCAGAUUGCUAUAUAGCUGAAGUGAUCAUCGUACGUAUUAAUUUUAAACAGAUCGAUCAACUAUCUAGAUUUAUAAUAAUGUAAUCCUAAAAAGCCAAAUUAAACCUAAGAAUAGAAUCGAAAAUCAAAUAAUCAACUAUGAAACCUAUCUAAUUUGAAUACAAAAAUCCAGAUAUAAAUAAUCUAAACUUUUAUACCAUGAUUGAAAUUGAAAGAACAAUAUGUAAUCUGGACGAAAAUAAAUGAAAAUAUAUGAAAGACCGAUAAACAAUCCUAAAUGAAAUUGUAAUCGAAAUAACCAUUUUUCAAUCAAAGUUCCUUUAUUUACAAGCCGGAGAUUCAACUGAGAUAGCUGAAAAAAGAUAUUUGAUAAGAUAAAAUCCUUGGUCGUUCAUUUCAAAUUAAACUUGAGAUGACAAGUGAAAUCGAUGGACCAUCUCGAGAACUGUUUCAGGGUUAGAUUAAAAAAUUAAAAGAAUGUGUAACUGAUAGAUCGAUGUAUAUUAUAUCAGAUAUCUCAUGAAAACUAAUUCUUAUUUAUAAGUACUAAACAAAUCGAAUCUUAUGUUUAUUCUUUUAUUUCAUGGCCUUCCUUAAUUUAUUCCGAUUCUACCAACUCUUAUUUCAAUCACAGAAAAAGAAAACUCAACUGAUCAUGGUAACUAUUAAAAAAAAAUUGGGUCGGAGUCUCGUUGUUAUCCUGUCUGGUAACUAUAAAAAUGUAUCCUUUAUUAUCAAUUGAAUAUAUGUCGACUAUCGGAUUAUUUACAUUUUAAGGUAUGAAAUCAAUCGAUAUAGGGAAAAUCCAUCAAAAUUGAUAAGGCAACGUCACAAUAUAUGUAGAUUAUGUUGAUCCACCAAGAAAGUUAAUUUAUCAUAAGACAAAAAACAUAACCAAACAUAAGCAGAUUUAAGUGUCAUAUGUAAAUAACCAACCAGCGCAAAGGAGAGAAUACUUCAAAAAAACAAUUGAAUUUACUAAAUAUAACACCAGCAUUGAUCAAUAUUAUUAAGAGAGACAAUUUUCGGGCGACAAAUCCGUUGGCUAGAAGCCUUAAUUAACAUUGGGGAAUCUGGAUAUUGCAUGUGUAAUAGGAGUAGAGUUGCUGAAGUGCAACAGAUGGUAGGAGCAGUAGCAAUUCUCGUGUCCCACUAGACUUGCACAAUAUGUACUUGAAGGUGGAGUUUUUUCGAGGACGGCUGACACACAAGCCACAAAUUGGGAAACGUCACAAUUUUUAGAGUGUGCAGACGGCGGACGAACCCGUCCGUGUUGAAACCCGCCAGACGGAACGGGCCCACCCAUUCUAUUUACCUUACUAGGCCUAUCUGCCCUGGUCUGAUAGACUAGGGGUAUCAUCAACUAAUUUAGAGUUGAUUGUGUAAUGCACAAGGCCAGGGUCUAUCUCUUAUCCUCACAUGGCUUCUCACACACACCGAUCUCUCUCUAUAGUACUUCUCCGAGUUGGAAAAGAUCCCUUCCAUCGGUCCUACAUGAGGUAGAUAUAGUGGUACUAGAUUGGGGCUGCUAGGCCAACCGGAUAUGGCAUUAUGAGCCUGGACCCUCUUAGUAUUCAGAUUUCGUGGAGGAUUUUCACCACUGAUAUUUUUUUUGGUGAAAAAUGAAGAGGAAUAAUAGAUGAUGGAUUAUCAAUGACGGUUAUAAUAUUUUCCUAACAGUUAUCGUUCUGACGGUCUUUUAAUGGCGGAUUUCCGUCACGAAUCACUUUAAAUGAUGGAAAUUAGUAAUUAAAAGACCGUCAUACAAUGUUCACGUGCUUUCUUCUUCUUUCAAUCAACUAGUCAAACAUGUCUGCUCUCACGAUUCUCGAGGAGUUACGACGUGAUGUGGUGCACCAACAUGUACGGUACCGGUGGUUUGGUUCGAGAAUCCGAUUCUUAAUUCAAGGGGAGAAGGCUUGUUCUCUAGCGGCCAUCGGAAGUCAUAAUUAGCUCUAAUCCUAGCAGUAUAAAUUUCAAUAAUCCACCCACCGACCAUCAACAAUUAUCUUUAUUAUUUAUAAGGAGGGAAAUAGUUAGAUAAAUGAUGAGAUAACACAAAAAUUACCCAAAAAAAUAAACAUAAAAAUAGGGAAAUAUUCCAUCCUUAUUUGCGUUAUUGUGCACCAAAAACAUCCACAGCACACGAUUGACAUCCAAUGAUCCCAAUUAUGUUAUGCACUUAAAACUAACUUACGUACGACAUCCAAGGAAGAAGCAUGUCCGGGCAUGAGCCCGACCCAAGAUACUACAAAAAACUAGCGUAUUUCUGGCAGCUCUGGCGGCCACCUCCUGGCAGCCUGGCUGCCGAAAAAUAACACUUAUCUACCGGUAUAAUUUCCCCGUGUAAAUGUGGGAAAUGAGCUGGCGGCCAGGCUGCCGGAACCUUUUUUUUGUUAAGUUAUCAACGACCUGGCCGCCAGCUCAAAUUUUCCCCGCGUAAAUGAGAGAAAUGAGGAGGCGGACAGGCCGCCAGAAAUACGAUGGUUUUUUGUAGUGAGGGGACACACCGAGACAUCAGUCUGAACCCCCAUCAAACCAGAGCCCUCAGAUAAAAAAUGCACUAGUAACCCACCUGGCCCAAGCUAGCAAUGGAGAAGCCAAACCACUCGGAAGGACAAAAUUUUCAGGAGCAACCGAAUAACGAAUUUGCAUUAAAAAGUGAGCUAUUACAGGAGUUAGCUAGUCCAAAAUAAAGACUGUAGAAUAAAUAAAGGCGAAGUCACAAAACGAAAGGAUCAAAAAAAGCGCAGCAGCAAAAGUCCAGCAGUUGGCGAGCGCCCCAGGUGAACGGCCGUGACGAUCAUCCACGCGUUAUGAAGUGGCAAAGAUUAGUCGCAGGUAAGUCGGACAAUGCAAACUGAGAUCAGAGUCGCCGGUCCUGGCGCCUUCGAGCAGAAGUAGAAGGCAGAGCAGCGGAAGGAACCGAAAGUAUUCCAGUAGGCGAGCACCCAAUGGGCUGUUGGAAGUAGGAGCAGUGGGUCCUCGUGGUGACGACGAAACCGCGCCAGCUCCAGUAUCCACUAACACCAAAUCGGCGCCGGCCAGACGAUGAGAAGCCAAUUGACGAUGUACAGAGAGAAGUAAAGAGUUAACGCAGUAACUUUCGGUGACAGCAAGAACCUUAAGUUCAACCUCAGACAAGAUAAGACAUUCUGACCACACGGAUUUCUAAUAAACCUACUCACGACCCAACUCUUCGAGAACUGUGAAAGAAGGCAUGAUUAGCAGAUUUAUGGAAGUGGAAAAAUACAUGUAAAGGAAUUUAAAGGAGGAGUACUGAUAAUACCCUCGUCCACUGUAUAUGGCCCAAGGCUAGCUACACUACAAAAAAAAGGAACUUAUAUGGCGGUCUUUAGAUGGUGGAUUUCCGCCAUUAAUAAUUCAGUUGUUUAGAUGGCAGACAUCCACCAUCUAUUCUUUGAGUCCGUCGAGGAAAGGUUUUGGCUCGACGGUGGUUAAAAUUUAUUUUGAAUAGUGGUGUUUAGAUGGUGGAAAUUCGCCAUCUAAACUAUUCCGUCCAAAAAUUCGAUUUCCCCCCAAUAUUCAGCCCGAUUACCCGAUUAAAUUGACUUAACAUGGCGGACAUCCGCCAUGUUAAGUUUUCGGGAAUUCGGGCGGAAAAAGCCCGUCCAAAAUUCGAUUGGGCGUACUUUUCCGGAUUUGCCGUCGAAACUUAAUGUACCUUACAUGGCGCCAUGUAAGGUUUGGGGUUUAAUAAAAACCCCAAAUCACAAACAGACGCGUUCUCUGUCUCACACUGAAGAAAAUCGCCGACGCUGCCUCCCUGCUGCCCCCGUCGUUCCUCGCCGUUGGUCGUCCUUCCCUUCUCUCCUGUGAAGGUAUGAUUUGUUCAAUUUUUUUUUUUAAUUUAUGACAUCUUCAAUCUUUGUAUUUCAAUGUUUAAACUUUUUCUACAUAAGUUAUCUCCCCUGUGAAGGCUUGCACUCAUAUGUAUUCAUGUAUUUGCUUCUUCUAUUGGCUUGCAAUCACUACAUGUAUUCAUCAUCUAUUCAUUCUAUAUUGGUUUUUAGUCUCCUAUUUUUAAGACUUUUGUUUCAUUUUUGUUUCACUACUUGUUUCAUUUAUGUUUGAAUCUAUCAAUUUAUGUUUUAAUCUGUUGUUUGAAUCUAUUCAUUUCUAUUUCAAUUUGUGUUUUACUUACUGUUUUUUAUUAUUAUCAGAUAUUAUUUAUACAUCGGAUAUGUUUGUCGAUGGUUUGUUUAUUAAGAGAAAAUAAUGGAAACUUUGUUGAUAUUUGGUAUUAACUUUUUUGAUGUUUGUUGAUGUUGAUCGUGAAGGUACUUUGUAUGUCUUGUUUGGGUAUAAUUUUAUUUAUACGGUUUAAUUUUGCAAUCUGUUAUUUGAUUAUCACAAUGAAAUGUACUUAUUUGAUUAUCCGGUAGCCGACGCCGCUUCGAAGGUCGCCUCCGAUAGCCGUCGCCUCCGUCCUGAUUUGAUCCCGUCGCCGUUCUUGGUGAGAACUGAGAAGGGUUUUAUUUUACUUUGUUUUAUUUGAAAAUGGUUAUAUUUUAGAAUGGAUUUUGGUAAGAUUUAGGGUUAGGGUAAGAUUUACAAAUCGUUUUUUAUAAAUUAGUUUUUUUUUAUUGAAAUUUUUUCAUUAAUUUUACUGUUUUAUAUUUAAUUUAAAGUUUAUAAAUAAUAUAAAUAUAUAAUUAAUUUUAAUUAGAUAAUUAUUGAUUAAUUUAAAUAAAUAUUUACUGUUUCUACAUAAUUUAAAUAUUAUUUGAUUAAUAAUAUAAAUUAAUUAAUGUGUUAAGUAAUUAUUGUUUUUGUUGAUUUUUUUUAGGUUUUAAAAAAUCGAAAAUUCAUAAAAUUGUGAUUGAAGUAAGAUUAUUUAAUUGAUCGGUAAGAAUUCUAAUUCUAAUUCUUUAUUUAUUUAUUUAAUUUAUUUUUAAUAAUAUUGAUAGUACAAGGUCCAACACACAGACCAUAGUACUAAAAGACGUAUCCCAAAGUAUCUAAUACGCAGAGGAGGGGGGAGUACUGGUGAUACAGUAUCCCGAACCCGGUCACAACCUACCAGCAACUAGAAGUCCGGAUAACCUAAAAUGAGUUGAGGUACCUAUUUUAGGGAUGGGGAGGUCCCAAGUCGAAUCCUAGGAAGAUCGACUUUCCUGAGGAUCGACUUACCUGGGAUCGACUUAUGAAUAAAGUCGAUCACCAGGAAAGUCGACCCCCAGAAAGUCGAUCUCUGGAAAGUCGAUCUUGGGCCCCGAUCUGAUCAGUUAGGCAGUUAGGCGGUUACUGCCCAAAUGACCAGAUUACCCCCAUAAGAACCACUAUAAAUAGGAGGCAUCCCCCACUCAUUAAAGGUAGGUCAUUUGGAGCAAAAGGAUUCCUAGCGAAGCAGAGCUCUGCGCACUUGACUUCCGGUCCGGUUUCCCGCGGAGUUCCCCGCUUGGCGCUUGCUUGCGCGUCUUGGAGUAUUGGUCGGGUUUCACCCCCAUCAAAUAUGAAAUUAUAAUUAACAAUAUAAAUUAAUUCUCAAUUGGAAUGAUUUAAUUAAGAAUUUAAUAAAUUUGCAUGAAAUUAACAAUUGAAUUAUUAAAUUGAAUAUUAAUAAUUAAUUUACAAUUAUUAAAUAUUAAUUAAUUUGCAUGAAAUGAAAUAAUUUGUUAAUAAUGAAAAUUUUAAUCAUUUAAUUUUAAAAUUAUUUAAUUAAUCUUAAUAAAAUUUAAUUAAUUUGCAUGAAAUUUUAAAAUUGUUAAUAUAUUAGUAAUUAUUAAAUGUAAUGAUUUGAAAUUGUAUAUAUUAAUAAUAAUUAAUUUACAUGAAAUUUUAAAUUUUAAAUUUGUUAAUUAUUAAUGAUUAAUUUGUAUGAAAUUAUAGAAAUCUUAAUUAUUAAUUAUUAAAUUGAAUGAUUUUAAAUUGAAAUAAUAAUCAUUAAUUUGCCAUGAAAUUAAAUUUGAUAAUUAAUAAAAUUAUUAUUUGUUUAAAAAUGAAUGAUUAUUUAAAUAUUUGUUUUAUAAUUAAUUAAUUUUUUAUAUAUAUUUUAAAAAUACCACGUAGAGUGAAGCAAUUACCUCGUAAGAGGGCUCUACCACCCACUCCCCAAGAUGUUUUCCGGUUUUAUCUCCCGGUUCAUCCUUCACCAACACGUGUACGUCUAGCACCGGUACCAGUUCGUCCAGCACCGGCCCCUCAAGUUCCGCAACCAACAACUCCGAAGAAAGUCGUUUAUGAAAUAGAUUCGAAAUAGUUAAUUAGACCUUUAAUUAGAUAGAUUUUCCAAAAAAAAUUGAACUUAAUAUUAAUUGAACUAUAAUUAAUAUUGUAAUAGUCAAUAAGUUUUAUAUAAUUAAUUAUAAUUUGAUAAAAAUUUAAUUUUUUAGGAUAAUGUCGAACUUUAUGAAAGUAUCCGAUAAAGCUUGGAUGAGUUUAGAUCGGUUUUCGAAAGAAUACGGUUUAAGGCUAGAUUGGUUGCCAAAGGAUUCACUCAAAGAGAGGGAAUUGAAUAUCAUGAAACAUCACCAGUUUCCUCGAAUGAUUCUUUUAGAAUCAUUAUGGCUUUAGUGGCUCGCAUACUACAAUCUAAAACUACAUCAAAGGGAUGUUAAAACUGCUUUUCCUUAAUGGGAAUCUCAAUGAAGAAAUAUACAUGAAGCAACCACAAGGUUUUGAAGAAAAUGACAAGCUUGUUUGUAGACAUAAUAGUCUAUAUACGGACUUAAACAAGCAUCAAGACAAUGGUAUAUUAAAUUCAAUGAAAUCAUUUCUUCAUAUGGUUUUUCUGAAAAUCUCAUGGAUCCUAAACAGGACUUCCUCAUAUUAAAGUAUCAAUAUAUGGAUCAAUAUGUAAAUAACCGAUUGUUUUUAUAUAAAUAAGAUAUGAGGGUUGAAGAAAAAUCAUCUAUUCUAUUUAGUCCAAAAGAAGGCAUCCAAUAGAGACGAGUCUCAGGAAUAACAAAAGAGAGGAAAUCUCAGAAGAAAAGCAAAACAAAUAGACAGAGAUCAAGUCUGUACUUCCGCUGUAAUGGAUUCAACAAAAGGUACGUUCGAAUCUGUAAGUACAUUACAUUCUUGAUAUAGAAAUCUUAGAUCAUAAAGUAUGAUAAUUACUAUCAUUAAAGUCUUAAACCUAAUUACCUAAGUUAUAAUUAAUUAAUUAUAAAUCUUUAUAACUUAUAUUUAUAGGGUGUAUAUCAGUUAAGAAGGGUUUUCAUGAGAACCCCUCUUCAUCACAGCUGUUCGUUUUCUUGUAGCACCUGGGCCGUCGAUUAUUUGGACCAGCAACCUGGUAAACAAGUAGCAGGUUGCAUGCAACCGGUUGGAACAAAAUUAAAAAAAUUUAAUCGAUUCUUCUAUAUUAGGAAGCUACUAACGUACAUUAAUGCUGCCUAGGUGGAAGAUUUGAUUACAUGUAUGCACUAGGAUAAUAAAAGAAAUAUUUCUUUCUAAAAAAAAUUUAAUUUCAAUUUCAUUCUCUCUCUCUUAACCUCUAAACUCAUUGUUCCGCAUAUUCCUCCCGCUACUGCCCGCGACGACGUUCGGUGAUCGCCUAGUUUCGUCCGUUUUUUUGCAUCCAGCACCAGCGGCUACUGCCCGCGCCGAUGUCCUCUAGUACCCUCUCACCGUCGUCGUCUGGCUCUGCGGUUCGUCAUCAUUCUGGCGUACGAUUCCAGGUUGUGCUAGAAAGGUCGUCCGUUCAUCUUUAUUUUUCCGACCACCCUCUUCGACGUCUUGUAGUUGGCCGGCGAAGGUUAAUAGGUUUUUUAGCAUUAGCUUGAGCUAUGUUUUUUUCGAGCAUCACUGUUUUUUUUUUCCUCCCUUAUUUUUCCAGUGGUCUUCGUCCUUUGAUUUUCCUGUCCCUAGUUUGAAUUCCGUUUUCUGGGUAGUCAUCCUUUUUUUUCUAUCAUUGGUCUCGCCCAUGACCAGAUUUAGUUUUAAAAAAAUCGAAAAAAAAAUCAUGGCCCAAUCGGUGUUUACAUAAACGUUGUCCAUUGAAUUUUUGAUGCAAUAGACGUUUGCAGUUGCCUUGAAACAGUUGCAGAAUACUUGUGACACAUUGAAACAGAUGUAUCGAAGGAAUGAUUAAACCAAAAAUUAUUGGCAGAAAUAUAAAAGCGUGUUGGGCUAAGUGCAGAUAUUAGCAGAAACGCAUUACAUAAUAGCAGAAGUAUACCAGACAAUAUUAGAAGAUGCACACUACAUAGUAGCGUAGUAACACCGUAAUAGCGGAGGCAUACUACAUAGUAGCGUAACCGUAAUAGCAGAGUCAUACUAUAUAGUAGCGUAAGAACGUAAUAACGGAGGCAUACUUCAUAGUAGCGUAACCGUAAUAAAAGAGUCGUACUAAAGAGUAGCGUAACAACGUAAUAACGGAGGCCUACUACUGAGUAGCGUAACACCGUACCAUCAGAGGCACACUACAAAGUAGCGUAACACAACAAUAGCAGAGACAUACUACAUAGUAACGUAACACCGUAAUAGCAGAGACAUACUACAUAGUAGCGUGACACAGUAUUAGCGGAAGCAUAAUACGAACUAGCGUAAGAACGUAAUAGCGGAUGCAUACUACUAAGUAGCGUAACACAAUAAUAUCAGGAGCAUACUAGAAAAUAGGGUAAACGUGAUAGCACAGUCAUAAUACAUAGUAGUGUAACAACGUAAUAGUACUACAUAAUAGCGUAACACCGUAAUUGCAGAGGAACAUCACAUAAUAAUAGAUUAUCAGGUAACACAUAGAAGAGGCACACAAUAUAGUAGCGUAACACAGUAAUGGAUUAUCAGGUAACACCAUAAUAGCGGAGGCAGACAACAUAAUAGCGCAACCACGUAAUAGCGGAGACACACAACAUAGUAGCGUCACACAGUAAUAGCGGAGGAAUACUAAAAAGUAGCGUAACACAGUAAUAGCGGAGUCAUAGUACAAAGUAGCGUAACACCAUAAUAGCAGGGGCAGACUACAUAGUAACGUUAUACCGUAAUAGCGGAGGCAUACUACGUAGUAGCGUAAUACUGUAAUAGUGGACGCAUACUACAAGAUAGCGUAACACGGUAAUAGCGGAGGCAUACAACAAAGUAGCGAAACACAGUGGUAUCAGAAGCACACAAACAUUUCAGUACAGAAAGUCAUAAUAGCAAAAAUACAUAUUAGCAGAAGCACAAUAUGCAUUACCUAUGUAACAUUGGACAUUAGCGGAAUAACAAUAGAUAUUAUGGGAGUUCGGAGAAAAGGGGUAACGACGUAAGUGGUUAGAAUAGCGGACGCAUACUACAAGGUAGCGUAACAAUAUAAUAGCGGAAGGAUACAACAAAGUAGCGAAACACAGUGGUAUCAGAAGCACACAAAAAAAUAUCAGUACAGAAAGUCAUAAUAGCAAAACUACAUAUUAGCAAAAACACAAUGUGUACUACUUAGGUAACAUUAGAAAUUAGCAGAAGAACAAUAGAUGUCCAAGUUGAUGUCCAAUGUCAUGCAACCCAUAUUCUCCGGUCCACCAAGUUGAUUAGAGAAAUAGGCAGCCUACUGUGAUACUGAAUAUUAACAUCAGCUAAGGAUGAAAAUAGUAUUUUGGAAGUAUGAGAUAUUGACCGAUUUAUUGGAAGGUAACGAAUUUUUGUGGGGGUGGCAAAUGGAUGAUUAUGAUCUAAAUUUACAAAAUCAGUGACGCACUGAUCAGACCUGUCUAUUAUUUUAAAUUUGAUACUUGCCAAGCAACUACAUCUAAAAAUACCAUUCUUCCGUCUAUUACCGUUGAUUGGUGGAAGUAUUAGAUUGGGACUACUGCCUUGUUUAGAACACAACAACCUUUUCAUUACAAGAAUUUUAUGACCAGUUUGUUUGUCCAAUAUAUUAUGCGUCGAUCCUAAACGAACAGAAAAUCGGGUAGAUGAUACAAAAUCGUAGUAGGAUUGAACAGCCAUUUCAUACGAAGGAAAAACCUCACCUACAAUAGUGAAUGGUUUACUGGAUUGAAUGUAACCAGAAGAUCCAUUUUCAUUAUUAGGAGAUGUUGGAUAUCCACCAGUAGAGAAAAAUUUUCUUUUCAAAUGAUUGUAAGGGGUUUUAGCAGUACCACAACUUACAUUAUCGGAAUGAGCAGGAAUUUGAACAAAGGAAUCCACGAUAUCAGCAGAGGCGGAUUGAACAUUCUCUGAAUCAAAAAAAUUACAGCGUAUGUUAUCAGGAUCCAAGGAACAACAAACAUUGACACUGGAAUCUAUAGGAUUAACAGUGGUCUGACAAUGAGGAGAAUUGAAUUGGUAAUUCAUACUAUUUGGUAUUUUAGCAGUUCCGUAACUCAUAUUAGCGGAGGAUUCCUUAAUUUCAGCAGAGGUGCAUUGGACAAAAUCUGGCUGAACAAUGUUACCUGCAGGGGCAUCAAGAUCCAAGGGCAUUGAAAAACCAACGUUGGAAGGUUUAGUAUUGGCAUUUGUAUGACAUUGAGGAGAAUUAAAAUGAAAUUUCAAGCUAACGUUGCAGGAUGUAUUUGUGUGAUCGUAUGUAAACUGUUGUGAACGAUAUGGAGGAGGGGUCACAAAAAUUGAAUUGGUGUUGGGGGAACUUACAGGCUGGUAGGUCGAUUUUGAUUGCCAAAUGAUGUUGGAGAAGCCAUUAUAUGCUAUGGAGGAAGAAAAUAAGCAUUUAAUGUAAGAAAAGUUCUUUUAGACGGAGAUUUGGCAAUCAACUACAGAAAAUUUGAAAAAGAGGUAGACGGAAACAAUUUUAGAUGGAGGGAAAGAGAGAGAGUGUAAGAGGUAGAAAAGAAAUUACAAGCAGAAAUCGUUAAAAAAUUCGGCAGGGAAGGAGGGGGGACGGAGAUACGCCGGAGGAAGAAAAUCUGGAAAAAUCCGGCAAGGAAGGAGGGGGGACGGAGAUACGUCGGAAGAAGAAAAUCUGGAAAAAUCCAGCAGACGAGGGAGUUAGAACGCGGGGAGAAAAAAUGAGGAAGAAGAUACAAAAAUGAAAUGUUUGAUAGAAAGGUAGAAAUGGAAAAUGACGACAGCUUUUAAAAAAAAAUUUCCAAAUCAAAAAAUGUAAUAAAAGGAAUGUUACGUGAGUGAUGGAAGAAUUAAUGAAAAUGGAAUAAAAUAAUUGAGAAAAUGGAAAAAGGAUGACCUGUUGCAACAGGUAAAUAAUGGACGGUGAGGAUUGUUCCGAAAAAACGAAGGGCAGAGAUUAAGUUCUCACGUAAGAACCCUUCUUAACUGAUAUUCUUUGUAUAUUUAUAUUAAAUCUUAACCAUAAUCCUAACACUGACUCUAAAGUUAUUCGGAUUAUUCGGAUUAUCCAGAAAUCCAGAUAAUUUAUACGGAUUCGGAUUAUCCGGAUAUCCGAAUAAUUUAUUCGGAUUCAGAUUUUCAAAUCCGGAUUUUAUUCGGUCGGAUAUCCGGAUUCGGAUACCUGCAUAUCCGAUCCGACUCCGACCGAUAUACAGGCUUACUCAUAAUGCCUUAUCCGGUUGGCCCGGCGACCCCAAUCUAGUACCACCAUAUCUAUCCCAUGUGGGACCGAUGGAAGGGAUCUUUUCCAACUUGGAGAAGUAUUAGAGAGAGAGAUUUUCAGCUUGGAAAAUUAAAAAAAUACCACCUGUAGGUGAUUUAACAAGACCACAUAGUAUAUUAUAAAAUUUAUCAGGUGAGAAGGCCUUAUUUUCUGACAAUGAGAAAGAAGGCUAUCUCAACCUUCCAAAUUUCGAAAAUCAAUCUCCACCCUCCGUUUUCUACCGGUUGAAAAACUUCACAACACGUGGGUUGCUUUAAUGUUAGGGUUUAGGGUUAGCGUUUGCAACUGUAGUUUUUUAAUAGUUUUUUUAAGAAUAGUUUACACCUUUCUCUCUCCGUCUUAUUAUUUUUUUCUCAUCUUUGUUUUUUUGUCACUAUUUUAUCAUCAUUUAAUGUUUGUGACACAUAUCACCCUCAUUCCAUCAGCUUUUAUAUAUGUCUCCAUCGUUCUUCAUUCAACUUUGUUUGUUUGAUGCUUAUAAUUCGAUAAAAUAAGGCUUCUUCUUGUUUGAUACUAAUAAUGUCAAAAUUUUAAAAAUUUAUCAAAUCAUGUAAUACUUCAUUCUUUUUAUUUUAGUUUAUUCUUCUUCUUUUAAUUCAUUCUUUACUCAUCUUCCAUCUUCUUUCGAUCUUAAGUUAUUCAAAGAGCAUUUCAAUUUUACUCCCCUCAAUCUAGUCUUCUUCUCUUGGUUUUUUGUGUACAACUUCCUCUUUGGUUUUCUUCAUUCAUAACAUCAAUGUAUGUCUCAAAAUUCAUUGAUUAAUGUUAUUGAUCAAUCAUCACCCAUGUACGUUGUAAUACUUGCACACUCACUACUGAUAUUAUAUUAUCUCUUGGUUCGCUCUUAGACGAUCACAUUCAAUAACAGUUCGUGUUGUAGUAAUGUUAUUACGUCUUCGUUUAAUUAUCAUACCCAUGUACACGGUAGUGCGGGCACGAUCACUAUUAAUGCUAUUACGACAUGGUUCUUUCGUAGAUGAUCACAUACAAUGCUAGUUCGGAUUGUAAUAAUGCUAUUACAACUUUGUACAAUGAUUUAACCAAUGUACUUUGUAAUGCGUGCACAAACACUAUUAAUGCUAUUAGGACUUGCUUCUUUCGAAAAUGAUCACAUUCAAUGCUAGUUCGUGUUGUAGUAAUGCUAUUGCGUCUUCCUUCAAUAAUCUAACCCAUGUAAGUGGUAGUGCGGGCACACACACUACUAAUGCUAUUUCGUGUUGUAGUAAUGCUAUUACAUUUUCGUUCAAUGAUCAUAUCCAUGUACGUGUUAGUGCGGGCACGAUCACUACUAAUGCUAUUAGGACUUGAUUCUUUUUAAGAUGAUCUCAUCCAAUGCUAGUUCGCGUUAUCGUAAUGCUAUUAAAACUUCGUACAAUGACCUAGUCAAUGUGUAUGUGGUAGUGUCUGCACACACACUACUAAUGCCAUUAGAACUUGAUUCUUUCUAAAAUGAUCAUAUAAAAUGCUAGUUUGCAUUAUAGUAAUGCUAUUACAACUCCGUGCAAUGAUCUAACCCAUUUAUGUGGUAGUGCAUGCGUGCACACACACUACUAAUACUAUUAUCUCUUGGUCCGCUCUUAGACGAUCACAUUUAAUGAUAGUUCGUGUUUUAGAUGCUAUCACGUCUUCUUUCAAUGAUCUAACCCAUGUACGAGGUAGUGCGUGCACACACAAUAUUAAUGCUAUUAUCUCUUGGUUCGUUCUUAGACGAUUGCAUUCAAUGAUAUUUCGUGUGUUAGUAAUGUUAUUACGUCUUUAUUCAAUGAUCAUACCCAUGUACGUGGUAGUGCGGGCACGAUCACUACUAAUGCUAUUAGUCUUAGUGUAUACGUGCACCAACACUACUAAUGCUAUUACGACUUGUUUUUUUUUAGAUGAUCUCAUCUAAUGCUAGUUCGCGUUAUAGUAAUAAUAUUUCGACUCCGUGUAAUGACCAAACACAUGUAUGUCGGAGUGCAUGCACAAACACACUACUAAUGCUAUUACGACUUAAUUAAUUAUUUCUAAAAUGAUCACAUACAAUGCUAAGACUACGCCAAAGUAAUGGUAUUAAUAUUAAGACUUUGUACGAUGAUGUAACCAAUGUAUUUAGUAGUGCGUGCACACACACUACGCUUUUAGGAUUUGGUUCUUAAUUUUUAAGAUGUUCGUAUUUUAAUAAUGCCAUUACAUUUUCGUGCAAUGAUGUAGUCAAUACUGCACAUUUGAAUGACAUCUUUCCUACACCAAAGCACAAUCUCUCGCAUAAUUAUGUAAUUCAUGGUUGUAAGAACAUAUAUUCUGUUGUCUUGAAUUUUUUUGUAUGAUGCUUGUGAAAAAACCUCUACUUGCCUACUUAAUGUGAUUUAUAAUGGUCUAAUAAAUGUUUAUAAUGUAAUUAUGUUUCAGACAAAACAUCUACACAAAACAAUCAAUUUUUUAUUCAAAUCAAUGACAUAAUAUUAAAUGUUUUCGUGAAAAUGCAAAAAAAAAAAUUAAAUGUUUUCGUGAAAAUGUCUCUUAAUGAGAAAUAAUAUUUUUCAAUUUUAUUUCAGUCUUCGCCAUCUUGGUUUGCCUUUAACAGUAACCAUUUACUAGCCUCCAAAGCUCUGUUUGGAGGCUUACCCUUACAUUUUUUCUGUAGUAUUCAUUAUAUGUUUAGCAUUAAAAAUUCCAUUUAUAUUAUUCAAAACUAUUUAUUAAUAAGAACAUACCAUUUGGAUUGGGUGCACGAAUUAUAAUUAUGUUGUCUCUUUGAUUUAUGUUGACUCACUUUUACUUUUCAAAUGUAGGUUUUCAUAACUUACACUUAUGUCGACACGACAUGACUGACACGACAUAAAAUUCGUGUCGACACAACACGAACACGACAUUAUUUUAUAAAACUUUACUAAUUUUCGUGAUCAAUUGAUCUAAUUUGCUGAUGAAAUCAGUUGAACUCUAAAUCAUUAGAACUUCCGAGCCACGUGCGUGAUAAAAACGUCUCGUGAAAUUCUUGCGGACUUGACCCAUAAAAGAUUACUAUAUUGUGAUAAAUCCAUUCAUGUUAGCUUACAUGUGCAAGCUAAGAAAUGGUCAAAGAUUUUGCACCUACAUCAUUUAAUCAUCUUCCUCAACAACAUUUGCUUAACCACUUUUAGUAAAUGCUAGAAAAUCAUGUAUAUGUAUUAUAUAUAUGCAUACAACUCCAAUCUUCAAACAAUAACCAAUCACUCUUUACAUUUUCUGUGUUCUAGGAUUCACAAAUCACAAUGGGUGUGUCAUCUUCGACCUCCGUGUCUCUGAUCAUGUGUAUUAUUCUGGGAGCGAUGUUGCUGCUUUCCGGAGCGCCGUCUGCGCACUCACAGAGUUGUAACAUGCAUUUCCCAUUUUGGGGCUUGUGUGUCGGCCGUCCUUAACAAUACCCCGCCUUCAAGUACCUGUUGUGCAAGUCUAGUGGGACAAGAGAAUUGCUACUGCUCCUACAAGAACACACCAAACUUCAAUCACUACAUAACUCCUUCCAUCGAGCAAAUGUUUUCAAGCACAUGCAAUAUCCAGAUUCCUCGUUGUUAAGACGCUUAUAGCCAACCAGCCAGCCGACUUGUCACCUGAAAAUUGUCUCUCUAUUUCUCUCAAUAAUAUGCAAUAACUUGGAGGAGGAGUAGUAAUAAUAAAGCUUUGGGCUUAUUAUGUAACUCUAUGUAUUAUGUUGGAUUAUUGUUGCUGGUGUUAUAUUUAGUAACUUCAAUUGUUGUUUUGAAGUAUUGUCUUUCCUUUGUACUUGUUGGUUAUCUAUAUAUGACACUUAAAUCUGCUUAUGUUUUUUUUUAUCUUAUGAUAAAUUAACUAUAUCUUGGUGGGGAUCUACAUAAUCACCAAGGUUGCAGACGUUGCCGUUCAAUUUUGAUGGAUUUUCUUCAUAGUUUCUUCUUAAUUAAUUUCAUUGCAGAUUUAGCUUGUUCUUCACAUUCAUUUCUUCGGUAUGUUUUUUUAAAAUAUUCUCAAUUUCAUUUAGGAUUGUUUAUAGGUCUUUCGAUCAUAUAUAUUCAUUCAUUUUCUUCCAUAUUACAUAUUAUUCUUUCAAUAUCAAUCAUUGUAUUUGAUGGUGUGUGGGCUCACAAUCGGAUGCUCACACACAACUUUCUGGACUACUCUUCUCAAUAAUGGUCACCCCCCUAGACCAGAGUAUUGAUGUGACGGUUGAUUCAAAAGACUUUCAACACCGCUAUAUUCUUAAAAAGGCGUUGUUGCAUCUUUAAUGGUGACGGAAAUCCGCCACCAAUACACAAGAGAUGGUGGAGUCGCAAAAGUAUUGGUGAUGCAUUUCCUCCAGAAAAAAGUUUUCGCAAAAUUUUCUAAAUUAAAUUUCAUUGAAUUGAAACGUAAAUUUAGAACAUAUAUGUUUGCUCCGCCCAGGUCUUCGUAAAUCGGGUGGAGCACGAACAGGAUAACCUUUCCUUCGUAUCCGCCUCGGAAAAUAUGACUAGGGUAGGACAGGGCAACCGGGCAAAGGUAUGAGUAAAUAUCUUCUUUGAAUUUAUUAUUCUAUAUGAUCGCUAUUACAUGGAUUUUAUCAAAUCGAUCUUUUUUAAAUAAAAUAUAUAGUUUAUCACAACAAGAAAGCGUAUCUAAUAUAAGUCCAAAAACGGCCACUACAUCUUGGUCAUCUAAAUUUCUACAAAUAUUACUCAUUCUCUUACAACCGUUCAUUCCAUGUAAUAAAAAAAUUUAAAGACGAAGUGGACGGUUAGGAUAAUCUAUAUUUGAACUCACCAAAAAAUGACUCAUCUGAAAAUUACUCUAUUUUAUUAAUAAAUAAUAAUUAUUAUUAAUCUAUAGGUACAUUUUAUUAUUUUACGUUUAUUAUAUAGUUAUAAUUAAUUUUACCCUAUAAUUAUUAUUUUACCCCAUUAUUUUAUAUAGAACUUAAAAGAUUCUACAUAAAAAUAUUAUUUUACUUUUAUUAUAUAUUAUAUAUAAUAUAUAAUAAUUUAUAUUUUGAUAGACUUUCCUGAAUUUUCGUGUAAUAAUUUUUUUACCAAACUUAAUUGUAUAACCUAUCAAUUUUUGUUAAAUUAAGCAUAAUAUUAAUAUAUAAGAAACGAUUCACGUAUGAAUUUUGAGAUAUUAUAUGAAAUAUCUCCAAUCCUGCUAUUAAAUAUUUUAAAACCAAUGGUUCUUUUGAAAUGAUUAAAUAUAAGAAAAAUAUGAUACACAUAUUACAAUAUUUUGAAUGGACGACUCAGAUUUAAAUAACUCAUACUAUCUCAUUUAAACUAUUUCAUCUGAAUCUCGUUUAUACAUAAGUAUACAUGAUCAGUAUUGAAAAUCGUAAUAUAAAUUAAAAAGAUAAAUUAUAUAUUUUAAUACUAGAAUAUAAUAAUAUAUAAUUUAUAUUUUUGGUCCACGAAUUAAGGUAUAUUCUUUUGUAGUGAAUACUUCUCGAAAGGCUAUGAUUUUGUGGGUGUUUAGUUAUGGGUGGUAAUUCAAAAGCCUAAAACGAAGCUGGUGGAGGAAUGAAUUUAAGAAAAUUCAAUAUGGGUUCUCUUUCCCUGAAAAAAUCUGUUUGUAGUGGCUCGUCCUCGAACAAAAGAGAUCUGAAUAAUAAUGCGAGGAUAGAAAAUUAGUCGAUCACGAAAUUAAUUACAUAAAAAAGAUCAACGAAGCUUCAUUUAUCACCUUGUUGCUGAGACAAAAAUGCCUUCAAACGCCACCAUCAUUAGAACAAUUAAUCACGAGAAAUAUUGCUGAUCUUACAAAAGAAGAAAGGGCCGUCAUUUUCAGACCUCUUUCGAUUUACUUAUUUCCUUCUUUUCUUACGAUUUCGAUGCCUCUAUCUCUUUC